RNAcentral lists this ribosomal RNA (255 nucleotides) under Triticum aestivum (bread wheat). RNAcentral's name for it is "partial small subunit ribosomal RNA". The record is from RNAcentral. Lineage: Eukaryota; Viridiplantae; Streptophyta; Magnoliopsida; Poales; Poaceae.
GUGUUGUUUCAAACAACAAAGCAUACACCUUUCCAAUUGGUAUAUCGCCUAGUCGAGUUGACACUAUUUCUUUCCGUAGCAACUUCAUUACUUGAGCGAAUAUUUUCAGCAAUGAAGAUCAUCAAAGCACAUUUGCGCAAUAAGAUUUUAGAUGAAGUAUUCAAUGAUUCAUUUGAAUUAUUUAUGAUGAUUAGAUUAGAUACAAUCCCGAAAAAGAAAUACUGCAAGGAUAUUUUCCUUGUGGGUAUACUGUGA